This 460-nucleotide ribosomal RNA is filed under the name uncultured bacterium. RNAcentral's name for it is "partial 16S ribosomal RNA". It matches the Rfam family "Bacterial small subunit ribosomal RNA", at positions 338 to 795 of the family's 1533-position model. The record is from RNAcentral.
CCUACGGGAGACAGCAGUGAGGAAUAUUGGUCAAUGGACGAGAGUCUGAACCAGCCAAGUAGCGUGAAGGAUGACUGCCCUAUGGGUUGUAAACUUCUUUUAUAUGGGAAUAAAAUGUUCCACGUGUGGGAUUUUGUAUGUACCAUAUGAAUACGGAUCGGCUAACUCCGUGCCAGCAGCCGCGGUAAUACGGAGGAUCCGAGCGUUAUCCGGAUUUAUUGGGUUUAAAGGGAGCGUAGGUGGAUUGUUAAGUCAGUUGUGAAAGUUUGCGGCUCAACCGUAAAAUUGCAGUUGAAACUGGCAGUCUUGAGUACAGUAGAGGUGGGCGGAAUUCGUGGUGUAGCGGUGAAAUGCUUAGAUAUCACGAAGAACUCCGAUUGCGAAGGCAGUUCACUGGACUGCAACUGACACUGAGGCUCGAAAGUGUGGGUAUCAAACAGGAUUAGAUACCCGAGUAGUC